RNAcentral lists this ribosomal RNA (450 nucleotides) under uncultured bacterium. RNAcentral describes it as "partial 16S ribosomal RNA". It matches the Rfam family "Bacterial small subunit ribosomal RNA", at positions 354 to 796 of the family's 1533-position model. The record is from RNAcentral.
GUGGGGAAUCUUCCGCAAUGGACGAAAGUCUGACGGAGCGACGCCGCGUGAGUGAAGAAGGCCUUCGGGUCGUAAAGCUCUGUCAUCAGGGACGAAUGGCCGGUGGAGUGGAAAGCCACCGGAUUGACGGUACCUGAGAAGGAAGCCACGGCUAACUACGUGCCAGCAGCCGCGGUAAUACGUAGGUGGCAAGCGUUGUCCGGAAUUAUUGGGCGUAAAGCGCGCGCAGGUGGGAUCUUAAGUCCAUUUUGAAAGUUCGGAGCUCAACUCCGUGAUGGGAUGGAAACUGGGAUUCUUGAGUACCGGAGAGGAAAGCGGAAUUCCCCGUGUAGCGGUGAAAUGCGUAGAUAUGGGGAGGAACACCAGUGGCGAAGGCGGCUUUCUGGACGGUGUCUGACACUGAGGCGCGAAAGCUAGGGGAGCGAACGGGAUUAGAAACCCCAGUAGUCC